UUAAAUUGAAGAGUUUGAUCAUGGCUCAGAUUGAACGCUGGCGGCAGGCCUAACACAUGCAAGUCGAACGGUAACAGGAAGCAGCUUGCUGCUUUGCUGACGAGUGGCGGACGGGUGAGUAAUGUCUGGGAAACUGCCUGAUGGAGGGGGAUAACUACUGGAAACGGUGGCUAAUACCGCAUAACGACGCAAGACCA
RNAcentral lists this ribosomal RNA (197 nucleotides) under Salmonella enterica subsp. enterica serovar Enteritidis. RNAcentral describes it as "partial 16S ribosomal RNA". It matches the Rfam family "Bacterial small subunit ribosomal RNA", at positions 1 to 189 of the family's 1533-position model. Lineage: Bacteria; Pseudomonadati; Pseudomonadota; Gammaproteobacteria; Enterobacterales; Enterobacteriaceae. The record is from RNAcentral.